RNAcentral lists this long non-coding RNA (817 nucleotides) under Androctonus crassicauda. The record is from RNAcentral. Lineage: Eukaryota; Metazoa; Arthropoda; Arachnida; Scorpiones; Buthidae.
UAUAUUACUGAUCAACCAUUUCUGCAUUAUGCACCACGUGUAAUAUUGUUUAGUUUCAUUUUUACUGAUUUCUAAUUCCAAGUUUGAUCUAAGUAUAUUUACAUAUAAAAAUUUCAUUUUAUGAUCAGUAAAAAUGAAAAAAAAAAAAAAAAACAAAUAAUACAGAACAAAAAAUAUAAACAUCCUCAGGCUAGUAUGAGGAUUUCAGGGAUAUCUUUUCAUCAGACCCUGACAUCAGGAGAUUUUUAAUGUGUAUUUCCAACAUGGAGAAAUGUCGGAUGGUCAUAUAAUUUAUCGACUCAUGGAUUCGUGAUACCGAAGUCUAGAAUCAGAGAUUGACAAACUACUUAUUAACAUAAGCAUAAGCAAUUGGCAAUAAUAAGCAAUUAACAUAAAGGAUAUAGCAAAUAACAAUUAGUCUUACUUAAAUUUACUUAAUUCUAACUUAAAUCUAUGGUACAAGGUUUUGGGAGAGAGAGAGUGUGAGUUCCUCGAGUUUCCACAUAGAGAUCUGAGAGAGAGUUUAUCGGUAACAUCUAAUUAACAAUCCGUUUAGAUUAUUUUCAAAUAUACAACACUAAAUGUUCAAAUGUUCAUAAGCACUUUUGAAACAGUUCACUGUUGCACAGAUCCUUUAAGUAUAUGUCUUCAUUGUCCAUUGUCUAUCAUGUCAUCCUUGCUAUUCAUGCUAUCAUCGUCUAUUUUCUCCAUCAGCUGCUCUGAUGGGACAAGUUGCUUUCCUGUCAUUCAAUCUAUCAUUAUUUCUUUGUUCACUUAUAUAUUAUUAACUUCUUCUUUCUCUGGCUGUCUCUCUAAG